RNAcentral lists this ribosomal RNA (460 nucleotides) under uncultured bacterium. RNAcentral describes it as "bacterial SSU rRNA". It matches the Rfam family "Bacterial small subunit ribosomal RNA", at positions 33 to 507 of the family's 1533-position model. The record is from RNAcentral.
GACGCUGGCGGCGUUGCUUAACACAUGCAAGUCGAACGGUAAGGCCCUUCGGGGUACACGAGUGGGCGAAACGGGUGAGUUAACACGUGGGUGAUCUGCCCUGCACUUCGGGAUAAGCCUGGGAACUGGGUCUAAUACCGGAUAGGACUCCUGGCUUCAUGGUUGGGGGUGUAAAGCUUUUGCGGUGUGGGAUGGGCCCGCGGCCUAUCAGCUUGUUGGUAGGGUAAUGGCCUACCAAGGCGACGACGGGUAGCCGGCCUGAGAGGGUGACCGGCCACACUGGGACUGAGAUACGGCCCAGACUCCUACGGGAGGCAGCAGUGGGGAAUAUUGCACAAUGGCGCAAGCCUGAUGCAGCGACGCCGCGUGAGGGAUGACGGCCUUCGGGUUGUAAACCUCUUUCAAUAGGGACGAAGCGCAAGUGACGGUACCUAUAGAAGAAGGACCGGCCAACUACGUG